Molecule: unclassified non-coding RNA, 162 nt
Filed under: uncultured Xylaria
Lineage: Eukaryota; Fungi; Ascomycota; Sordariomycetes; Xylariales; Xylariaceae
Description: sequence contains ITS2
Source: RNAcentral
CAACCCUUAAGCCCUGUCGCUUAGCGUUGGGAGCCCGCCGGCCCCGUGCCGGCGGCUCCUCAAAGUUAGUGGCGGAGUCGGUACACACUCUAGGCGUAGUAAUUGCUCUCUCGCCUCUGCAGCAGUGCCGGCCCCUGCCGUAAAACACCCCACUCUUUCCAU